UCAAUCAAAAUUAUUAUGUUUUUUAAACAUUGUUUAAUAAUGUUUACAUGUUUUGUAGUAAUUGGAAUUUGGAUUAUGCCAGCUACUUCUACAAAAGAAUUAGAUACUUUAAAAGGGUCUUGUCGAUAUUUUCUAAAGU
This is a long non-coding RNA of Acyrthosiphon pisum (pea aphid), 139 nucleotides long. RefSeq lists it as uncharacterized. The transcript has 3 exons. Lineage: Eukaryota; Metazoa; Arthropoda; Insecta; Hemiptera; Aphididae. The record is from RefSeq and is a predicted model, not a curated record.